RNAcentral lists this ribosomal RNA (326 nucleotides) under Physarum pseudonotabile. Its description in RNAcentral is "bacterial SSU rRNA". It matches the Rfam family "Eukaryotic small subunit ribosomal RNA", at positions 80 to 350 of the family's 1831-position model. Lineage: Eukaryota; Evosea; Eumycetozoa; Physariida; Physaraceae. The record is from RNAcentral.
UCUGAAUCUGCGAACGGCUCCGCAAACCAGUUGUAAACCAUAGCAAGCAUGCCCCGUGGUCGGCCGAAAGGUUGGUCCGGGGCUAUAAGGAUAACCCUGGUAAUUCUGAGGCUAAUACAUGAACGUAACCCCCGGCUGAAGGGCAACUGGAUGCUGGGGACCGUGCGAGUAGGGCGCAAAGUUUAUUGGGAAUAGUCGCACAGUACGACCGCCAUACCAAACAGUAUCCGCUACGCCUCCUCACGGGGGCCGGUGGUGUCUGGGCGGCUCUUGCAAGGUGCUUCUGACCUAUCAACUAGAUGGCAGCGUAAAGGACAUGCUAUGGU